GAUGAACGCUGGCGGCGUGCCUAAUACAUGCAAGUCGAGCGAACGGGCGAGAAGCUUGCUUCUCUGAUGUUAGCGGCGGACGGGUGAGUAACACGUGGAUAACCUACCUAUAAGACUGGGAUAACUUCGGGAAACCGGAGCUAAUACCGGAUGAUAUUUUGAACCGCAUGGUUCAAAAGUGAAAGACGGUCUUGCUGUCACUUAUAGAUGGAUCCGCGCUGCAUUAGCUAGUUGGUAAGGUAACAGCUUACCAAGGCAACGAUGCAUAGCCGACCUGAGAGGGUGAUCGGCCACACUGGAACUGAGACACGGUCCAGACUCCUACGGGAGGCAGCAGUAGGGAAUCUUCCGCAAUGGGCGAAAGCCUGACGGAGCAACGCCGCGUGAGUGAUGAAGGUCUUCGGAUCGUAAAACUCUGUUAUUAGGGAAGAACAUAUGUGUAAGUAACUGUGCACAUCUUGACGGUACCUAAUCAGAAAGCCACGGCUAACUACGUG
RNAcentral lists this ribosomal RNA (497 nucleotides) under uncultured bacterium. Its description in RNAcentral is "partial 16S ribosomal RNA". It matches the Rfam family "Bacterial small subunit ribosomal RNA", at positions 28 to 507 of the family's 1533-position model. The record is from RNAcentral.